RNAcentral lists this long non-coding RNA (490 nucleotides) under Struthio camelus australis. RNAcentral describes it as "lncRNA (ENSSCUG00000015033.1)". The record is from RNAcentral. Lineage: Eukaryota; Metazoa; Chordata; Aves; Struthioniformes; Struthionidae.
GCCAGCUUUGUCAAGCACACAGACCCAGCUUUAUCUUUCUUUGCUGCUGCGCAUAAUCGUAUCAGCCUGAGGCUGGAGCAGGAAGUUAAGUUUGAAAUAAAAGCACAGUGCCUUAUAGAUGGGAAGUGGAGACAGUUCAGUAUUGAUCAACUCACCCUGAAGUCUGGAGUCACACAAUCCUCUUGCAAAAGCCAGAAGGAAGCUGGUUUUCUGCAGAGGAAGAAGGAGCUGGAGCUGGAGCUGGAGCUGGAGCUGGAGCUGGAGCUGGAGCUGGAGCUGGAGCUGGAGCUGGAGCUGGAGCUGGAGCUGGAGCUGGAGCUGGAGCUGGAGCUGGAGCUGGAGCUGGAGCUGGAGCUGGAGCUGGAGCUGGAGCUGGAGCUGGAGCUGGAGCUGGAGCUGGAGCUGGAGCUGGAGCUGGAGCUGGAGCUGGAGCUGGGUGGGAAGCCUGGCCAUUGUAGUUUCUUUAUCACAUAAAGUGGGAGCCAUGGAG